Molecule: ribosomal RNA, 301 nt
Filed under: uncultured bacterium
Lineage: Bacteria
Description: partial 16S ribosomal RNA
Rfam family: Bacterial small subunit ribosomal RNA
Source: RNAcentral
CAGUAGCCACGGUAAUACGAAGGGGGCUAGCGUUGUUCGGAAUUACUGGGCGUAAAGCGCGUGUAGGCGGGUCCUUAAGUCAGGGGUGAAAUGCCAAGGCUCAACCUUGGAACUGCCUUUGAUACUGGGGAUCUUGAGUCCGGGAGAGGAGAGUGGAAUUCCACGUGUAGCGGUGAAAUGCGUAGAGAUGUGGAGGAACACCAGUGGCGAAGGCGACUCUCUGGUCUGUAACUGACGCUGAGGAGCGAAAGCGUGGGGAGCGAACAGGAUUAGAUACCCGCGUAGUCCCUGUCUCUUAUAC